GAUGAACGCUGGCGGCAGGCCUAACACAUGCAAGUCGAGCGGGGUUUUCGGACCUAGCGGCGGACGGGUGAGUAAUGCGUAGGAAGCUACCCGAUAGAGGGGGAUACCAGUUGGAAACGACUGUUAAUACUGCAUAAUGUCUACGGACCAAAGUGUGGGACCUUCGGGCCACAUGCUGUCGGAUGCGCCUACGUGGGAUUAGCUAGUUGGUGAGGUAAUGGCUCACCAAGGCGACGAUCCCUAGCUGGUUUGAGAGGAUGAUCAGCCACACUGGAACUGAGACACGGUCCAGACUCCUACGGGAGGCAGCAGUGGGGGAAUAUUGGACAAUGGGGGGGAACCCGUGAUCCAGCAAUGCCGCGUGUGUGAAGAAGGCCUGAGGGUUGUAAAGCACUUUCAGUGGGGAGGAGGGUUGAUAGGUUAAGAGCUAAUUAACUAGGACGUUACCUAUAGAAGAAGGACACCGGCUAACUCCGUGCCAGCAGCCG
RNAcentral lists this ribosomal RNA (488 nucleotides) under uncultured bacterium. RNAcentral describes it as "bacterial SSU rRNA". It matches the Rfam family "Bacterial small subunit ribosomal RNA", at positions 28 to 517 of the family's 1533-position model. The record is from RNAcentral.